UAAUUUUUUCUAUUAGGGAUAAGCUUAAUAGAAUUUCUUUAAAUAAAAAUUAUUUAUUUAAAUAAGGAAUAAAAUUUUCUAAGUUUUUUUGUAAAAAAUUUUUUAUUAUUCAAGUUAUGUAAGAUUUUUAUAUGAUUAAAUUAAUUUUUUUUUAAUAAAAUUAUUAAAAAAUUAGUAAAUUUAAAAAAGUAAUGAAAAAUUAAAAUAUAUUAAUAAAAUGAAAAUUUAAUUAUAGUAAUUCGGCAAAUUAAUUAAUUGACUGUUUAUCAAAAACAUUUCAUCUUGAAAAGUAAUAAGAUGUAUAAUCUGCUCAAUGAUUUUUUUAAUUGCUGUGGUAUUUUGACUAUACAAAGGUAUUGAAAUAAGAUUUUAAAUGAGUGCUAAGAGAAUGAUUAAACAAUUAAAAGCUUUCUUUAAUUAAAUAAUUAAAUUUAAUUUUUUAGUGCAAAAGCAAAAAUAAAAUUUAGGGACAAGAAGACCCUAUGAAUUUUUAUUGUUAAUAAUUAAUUUAAAUUAUUAAUAAUUUAAUUGGGGCGAUAAAAAAAGAAUAAGUAUCUUUUUAGUUAUAAAAUAAGUUCCGUUUUUAGCGAUUAAAUGAAAUAAAUACUCUAGGGAUAACAGCGUAAUAAUUUUGGAUAGUUCAUAUAGAUAAAAUAGUUUGCGACCUCGAUGUUGGAUUAGGAUUC
This 686-nucleotide ribosomal RNA is filed under the name Ixodes scapularis (black-legged tick). Its description in RNAcentral is "partial 16S ribosomal RNA". Lineage: Eukaryota; Metazoa; Arthropoda; Arachnida; Ixodida; Ixodidae. The record is from RNAcentral.